CGGGAUGGGCUCACGGCCUAUCAGCUUGUUGGUGGGGUAACGGCCUACCAAGGCGACGACGGGUAGCUGGUCUGAGAGGACGAUCAGCCACACUGGGACUGAGACACGGCCCAGACUCCUACGGGAGGCAGCAGCAGGGAAUUUUGCGCAAUGGGCGAAAGCCUGACGCAGCAACGCCGCGUGGGGGAUGAAGGCCUUCGGGUUGUAAACCCCUUUAGGGAGGGACGAAAUUGACGGUACCUCCAGAAUAAGCCCCGGCCAACUACGUGCCAGCAGCCGCGGUGAUACGUAGGGGGCAAGCGUUGUCCGGAAUCAUUGGGCGUAAAGAGCUCGUAGGCGGCUUAGUAAGUCGGUCGUGAAAUACCGAGGCUCAACCUCGGCACUGCGGUCGAUACUGCUAUGGCUAGAGUUUGGUAGAGGAGAACGGAAUUCCCGGUGUAGCGGUGGAAUGCGCAGAUAUCGGGAGGAACACCUGUAGCGAAGGCGGUUCUCUGGGCCAACACUGACGCUGAGGAGCGAAAGCGUGGGGAGCGAACAGGAUUAGAUACCCUGGUAGUCCACGCUGUAAACGUUGGGUACUAGGUGUGGCGACCCGACCAACGGUUGCCGUGCCGAAGCUAACGCAUUAAGUACCCCGCCUGGGGAGUACGGCCGCAAGGCUAAAACUCAAAGGAAUUGACGGGUCCCCGCACAAGCGGCGGAGCAUGCGGCUUAAUUCGAUGCGACCCGAAGAACCUUACCUGGGUUUGACAUUAUGGGAAAAGCCACAGAGAUGUGGUGUCCGAAAGGGCCCAUAACAGGUGGUGCAUGGCUGCCGUCAGCUCGUGUCGUGAGAUGUUGGGUUAAGUCCCGCAACGAGCGCAACCCUUGUUCUAUGUUACCAGCGAGUUAAGUCGGGGACUCAUAGAAGACUGCC
RNAcentral lists this ribosomal RNA (916 nucleotides) under uncultured Actinomycetes bacterium. RNAcentral's name for it is "bacterial SSU rRNA". It matches the Rfam family "Bacterial small subunit ribosomal RNA", at positions 221 to 1153 of the family's 1533-position model. Lineage: Bacteria; Bacillati; Actinomycetota; Actinomycetes. The record is from RNAcentral.